Loxodonta africana (African savanna elephant) is the source of this 10897-nucleotide long non-coding RNA. RefSeq lists it as uncharacterized. The transcript has 2 exons. NCBI's taxonomy places the organism in Eukaryota, Metazoa, Chordata, Mammalia, Proboscidea, Elephantidae. The record is from RefSeq and is a predicted model, not a curated record.
UUGGGCCCCGGUGGGGGGGCGAGAAGAAGGCGGAGGGCUGGCGCUGGUUUUCUUUGUCAGCCGGGCGUUCCUUCAACUUUUCCGGAUCGCAAACCUGUAUUUUCACCCUUUAAUGUGAAUUUAGGAAGACAGUUGACGUCUCCGUCCCCCCUCCCCGCACACACCCAGGUCCGCGCUGCUCAGCAGCCAAAGCCCAGCGCGGUGUGACCACACGGCUGAAGGUGAAGCAGUGCCUGAAGUUUGGGAAGCGUCGCCAGCCUUCCCACACCAGGCAGGAUAUCGGGAGCACAUUGAUUCGGAUAGAAUACAGAUGGAAGUGGUGCCCAACUUACCCUGAAGUAGUAACUCCUGACGAUUUCUGGGUUAGGAGCAGGUUUUGUUUCUGAACGUAGGUUAGGAAUGUAUGCCUCCUUUUUUUAGAUCACCAGAAAUUAGAAAUGUCUUUUUAAAAAUGGUUACACGGCCACUUUGUCUGUAAAGGAGGAAGCCCGUUUUAGUGCCAGCUUUUUAGUGCUCAGCUAUUGUGGCUUUCUGGUGUGCUCUGGGAGAUCUGUGAAUGCCCCACAAAGUUGUGGAAUGGCGUGUACAGGAUCGUCAUUUCAUUCUGUGAGGUUCUCACUGAACUGUUGUAGUGGAAGGGGCGCUGGGAAGUGGAGGAAAGCAGUUUCUUCGGUUUGGGUGCGUUCAUUUAGUAAUAGUAUGGUUAUAUUUCGUGAUAACUAGUAAAAACAGAAUUUACUGAGGCGUAACAAGGCCCGGUUGUGGGAAUCCCUUGCAGCCCUUGACCGUAUGUGCUUUUUUAUCCUUUCAUUGUGAAAAUGAUUCAGGGCCUUGAGCUUGCCUCCAUAUUUUACUGCCAGCUCUUACCUAGCUAUGACAAACCGUGAGGGAAACAAGACGUACAGGAUGCGUGCAUUAUUAUAUUAGCUUCUUUGUGAUACAAAGUUAGGGUUUAUUUAUUACGCCACUCCUGCUGUAAUAUAAUGUCUGGCAUAAAACGUUAUUGUUGUUAUUACUGUAUUAACUGAAAUUUGGAGAAGGAAGGUAGAGUUUUAAGUAACUUUAAAACUUUGCCACUUUUUUGUAUCCUUCAAAGCAACACCAGUCAAGCCAUAGUAGGGUUUUUAAUUGAUUGCUUUCCGUUUUCACUGUUUGAAAACCAUCUCUCGGUGUCUUUUUGAACAUUAAUUUGGGAUUAUUGUAUGUUUUAGAUCUGCAUUUAAAUUCUUACUCUUUUUUACAGUGGACCUAUCCAUGUUGUCUUGCCCCUCACCCCAUAGGCACGCUUACAUGUGCACACGCACACAUACUUACAUGUGCACACGCACACAUACUUACCCUGCUGUUGGAAUGAGCUCAUUUGUGUUAGCACAGCUUUAGGAUGCAGUGGAGAAAAGGUUCAUUUAGGGUAUUACCAUUUUAUAAAAGCGUGAAUUUUUUUCUCUCAUAUUAUGAAUGAAGGAAAAGGUGGCCCUUUGAGAAUUUAAAAAAUUUUCACAGAAUGACACAAACCCAACACUGUAAAAACAUCAAAACUUUGGGAAAUGUUUAGAAAAAUUCUAAAUUUUAAGUUUUUUUCUUUAGCUUUGGAAAGUAGUAUGGCGUUCCUUAUAAGAAAGCAAAGUCUAGCAGUAACUCUGAUGGUUCUAAACUUUUUAGUGAAUUCUUUGAAAUUAGAUUUGUCUUUUGAAGGGAAUGGAAUCUCCAAUUGCUUUAGAAACAUGUAAAUGGAAACUAAUAUGUGAAAUGGAAACCCAAGGGAAGGUUUUUCAAUUGUGUGUCUCUACACGGUGUUAGGAUUCAUGCAGUAAAGACCCUGUAGUUAGCUGGGUAUUGAAGACCCGGAAAGUGAAACUGAUACGUAACGUGAUUUCUUAUAAGGAAUUAGAAAUGUAAAUUAGGUUUUUAAUGGCCGAAAUUAUGUGAAAUGAGAAAUAAUUCACCAAAGAAAUGAAAAUUAAUAUUUUUUUUGAAAUGUAAGGAAAAUAAUUUAAAAUUGUCAGUGAUAUUUAGGUGAUCGCUAAUUUAGUGGGUUGUGUUAAGCCAGCGAAGAAGAUGCCUCAUGACACUGUUAUUUUUUAAAGAGGUCCUUGUGUAUUUGUUUUUGGUUUAAAAAAAAAAAAAAAAGUAGCUGUUCACUGUUAGCUAUCCUUUUCUUCAGUUUGAAUGUUUAAUAAUUAGGUAAAUAAAUUGGGCAUUGUUUUAUAGUAUUAGAUAUUUUUAAUGUUUUGUUCCAUUUUAAAAGUGUAGGUUGUAUAGUUAUGGGUUUUAUAUAAACGAUGAUUACUUUAAAAUUAUGUGUAAAAUCAAGAAUUUUGAACUGAUGCUAUUAAUCUUAAUGGCAGAGUUUGAAAAGUAGGUAUAUGGAGGGAUUUCCUGUUGUUCAAACAUCAAGUGAAACAGUAAAAUUUACAUUCGUCUGAAAGCUCUCCCAACAGUUAAGACUAAUUAUUUGGCUAUUUGCAGUACUCAUAACCUUUACUAGAGGCACAGAUCUUAAACCAUUGGCAAAAAACGCUCCCGCCACAGAGUAAGCACAAGGGGAUUUUAGUAGAGUUAAUUAUAUUCCUGUUAAUGUUAGGAAAACUUUGUUGAAGCUUUAUUAUUAUUAUUAUUUUUACUUCUUACAGUAUAAACUUAUAUACUAAUUUGGGAAGCAAAGGGAAGCAUCCUGCCAUAUUUCUUACCAAGUCAACAAAGUCAAUGUUAGGGAUGGUGUGGGUGUGGAGUGCAGAAGCAGCAGGUGGUGGGGCUAGGGCUUCUGAGGAAGUUUCCUUGGCCCUUUUUGAAUAAACUCUUUAUACCCUGAACUACUUUCUUUUCAGAGGGCAAUUACUAUUAUUAGAAAGCCACACUGAGCAUUAUUGUAGAAAAGUUAGGCAGAACCAGUGAUGUCAUACAAGCAGUCAGCAAAAAUAGCUAUGCAGCAGGUGAAUAUUGCCAUUCUGUACUGUAAGAUCCCUCCCCCAAUGCAGUUUCUCAUUUCCUGAGCUUUGGAUGUGACAUAGCCACAGAAGCUAUGUGCUGCAUUACAGCGCACAGGUUAUGGUCAGGUGCUAGCACUAUUACUAUUUAUGCUUUUCCAGAUAACGCUAAUCCGUACGUUUUAUGAUCGUAAUUCUUAAUUUUUUUUUAAUUUUUCAAGAAGUUGGAUAAAUGGAAAUUUUCAUUAAUUCUUGGUCUCUGGCACUUACCAGGUACUGAAAUGUUUUAACUUAAUUGAAAAACAGGUCCAGGAACGUCAGCCUCUUCUAUCUCAGUAGGUUGUUAUUUAACCUGACCCUACUGUAUUUUGUUGUGCUGUGGGUCUUAUUCGUGGGGAUUGCGAGUAUUUGCAAAUACGAUGUUUUAAUUUAAUUAACAAUUUUAUAUUAAAUAUAUUGGUUAUUAAUCUGUAAAACUUAUAAACAUGGCAUUCCAUUUAAAUUUAAAAGUAAUACAAAAGUUUUAUUUUCCUAUUCUGAAAAUUGUGAGUCAGUAGUUUGCCUGUUAUCUCAGUUCAUUCCAUGAUGCCAGAUUUGUAGUCAGUUUGCAGGGGUGACAAGGCAAACUGCCCUAAGCCCCCCUGCCCCUUUAUUUUUCUUUGGAAAACUUUAUGUACCUUAUUACUGAGGCCACAAUCAUUUCUUCUGGCUAAAUAGUGGUUGUCCAGCCCUUUAUCCCUAAGCCACUUAUGGUUAUGACGAAGGAACUUCCAUGAUACCUUACUGCCUUCCAAAAUGAAAAUGGUCAGUUCUUAAAAGAACAUCAGGUGCUCUCUCGGCACUCUCGCCUAGGGUGUAUGUGAGACCGUGUUGUGAUACCUCGUUAUGUGAUACAGUCUUUAAUCUGUGUGAUGUCGGGCUGAGCAUAAUUUUUGGCUGCCAUGAAAUAAACUUAAUCAAUUUCUGUGCUCGUGUUUCUCUUUAAGUUUUUCCUGUAUUGUUUUGGCCAUCUUUAUCUUUUAAUUUCAACAAGCUGAUUAGUCCCUUUCUCCUCUCUUUUAUAAUUUUCUUUAUUGUGUUUGUGCUGCAGCGGCUAUUUUCAGAACUUCUUGACAGCAUGAAUUGCAGAAGUUAUGGAGUGAAAUGGGGAUGGUUUCUUUCUUUCUUUCUUUCUUUUUUUGUCGCGGCCUGCAUAUAAAUGUAUGCUGGUGGUUAGUGUGAAAAAUAUAGUAGAAAGACCAGUCUUGAAUUUGGAAUUGGAGGUGUCAGUAUUUAUUUUCAGAAUUUGAAGGACUUAAGAGCACGAGUUAAGCAGGAAUGACACAGCUAUUUUUGCACUUUCUUUGCAAUUUAGAAAAAGCCUCAUGUAAAAGAUAGGAAAGUUGUCUUACUUUGCUUUUGCUGAUAACUUUAUGAUGAUAGCAACUAUGUAUGAUGCACAAAUGCUGAAAUUGUUCUAAGAAGUCUUAUGCUUUUCAUACUCUUACAUAAUUUUUAGAUCUUUAAUUUGGGAUAUGCUGCUCAAAGAGUAUGCAAGUACUAAAUAUAUACUGGUAUGGACAAUCAACUCUGUGGAAGAAGGGUUCCCUGUAGUACACGGGGGUCUACAAAGACUUGGAGGAAGUAGUACAUGAAUUAGACCUUGAAGGAGUUGGUGAGUUUUAACUAGGUAGAUUGAGAAGACAGAGAGUGUGUGUUCUGGGGGAGCAAUAGGAAUAAAAUUAUAGUACAGUGUUUUCCCCAUGGAGUGUGACUAGAGCAGAGGCUUAGUGUAGGGGUUGGGGCCAAACUGUGGUGGCUCUUGAAUGCCAUGCUAAUGAGCUUUGGCUUUAUCCUAUAGUCCAGGGGUUAUAGACUGUUUACAGGGCCAGGCAGGGAACUUAAACAAGUUAGUUGCAGGCUGCUUGUAAGAUCAUAAAGACAGCUGACACCUAGGGCCUUGGGUUAGAGAGAAAAAUGAACAGUCUAGAGAGUCCUAAGAGACUAUUGCUUUGUGAGAAUGUGGUCUUUUGUUUCUAGAUACUCUGAAUUUUCAACAGAGGCUGGAAACUUGAAUUUUUGUAUGAAAUCUCUCAACUUCCAACUAAUUAAAAUUUAAAGCACUUUUUGGGCCUAUAGCUGUGGGCCAGGUUUGAUCUGUUGGGCCACCAGUGGGCUACAGGUCGUCAACCUCUUCUUUAUGCCCUGGUUAUUUUACUUUAUUUUUUUAAAUUAAGAUUUUAAAAGUAAAUAUUUGCAAACUUUCCGAGGAACCUAAGUAAAUUAUUUUGUAUUCUGUGUAGCAUUUUAUACAGUUGAAUGUAUAUAGUCAAAUACUUGGUGGUUUGAUGAUGGCUGUCUAGGAGAUAAACCAAAACCAUUGCUAUCAAGUUAAUUCUGACUCAUAGCAACCCUAUGGGACAGAGUAGAACUGCCCCAUAGGGUUUCCAAGGCUGUAGUCUUUACAGAAGCAGAAUGCCACAUCUUUUCCCCACAUUGUAGCUCUAGUAAUAAUAUGAAGAAUGGAGUUACCUGGAGGCAGAGAUAAAUAGGCUGUUAUAGUAGUCAAGGUGUGAGGUGAUCACGGCAGAGGGUAGAUUGUUGGGAGUGAGGAUGGAAAGGAAGAGAGAUUCAGUCACUGCAGAGGAGGAAUUUUGAAGUUCCUCGCAUAGAUAUCUGGAAGAUAGAAAUGUUUGGGAGCACUUGGACAUGUAGGGUUGGAGCUCAGGAGCUAGAUUGGGGUAGGUGAUUAAAGAUGUGGGUAACCCGAAAUUGUUGUGAAUGGGGAGAGACCGGGGGAGAUAGUGAAAGGAUUAGGAUGCUUAUUACUCUUACCAUUACGAGAUGAGGGGGAAAAAAGAAUAUCCAGAAAAAUGAGAAAAGAAAUUAGAAUAUAUGCUUGGCAGAAAUGGGCAUGUAUGUAUGUAUGUAUAAAGAUGCUUAUGGAAACAGCAUUACUCAGAGAGAAAAGGUGACAACAGCAAAACGUCCCUCAGUGGACUAGUGUGCAGUUCCCAUGGAGACAGAGCGGUAGGUAGGCCCCUGAAUGCUGAAGUGGGAGAAUGUCGGUGAUAACUCAUUGGGAAGAAGGUUUCCCAAAAGUUGUGCAGCAGGAAGUUAGCAUUAACUGUUUUGUAAAAAGCACAAAAACCCCAGCUACUUACAUGUUUUUGGCAUAGAAACAAUUCGGGAGGGUACGUGAUACCAACACUUCUGGGAAGACUGUCCUUCUGUGUGUCUGUCUAUGCGUCCAGUAAUUGAAAACUCUAAUCUCACAACUCUGAUUUUACAAACGAGAUUCUGGAGCCAAGACUACCUGGGUUCAAACCCAGGCUUCUCUUCUUAAUAAUUUGUUUACCUCAGGCAACUUAUAUACCUUUUUUUGUGCCUUGGUUGCCUCAUCUGGAAAGUGGACAUAGUAGUAUGCCUAAUUUAGAGUUGUCGUGAGGAUUAAAUGAGUUUAUAUGUGUGUAGAACUUAGAACAGUGUCUGGCACGAGCUAAGUGCUAUUGUCAGUAUUGACUACUAUUGUUAUCAUCGUCUUGCCACUCUCAUCAAUUAUUAUCAAUCAAGUGGUUGCCUGAGCUUGUGGAGCUCGUUAGUGACAGACAUGUGACGAUGAGGUGCCAAACUCUCUCUAAAAAUGCCGUGACAUAAAAUAAUAUAGUGAUUAUUGGGGGGAAAAUAAAGAUUUCCUUUCCAUACUGAUGCCCCUGAUAAGAGAAAAAGAACAAUAUAAAAACGCUAGGUCAGUAGAAAUCUGUAUAGAAUGGUUUUCGUUAUGAGUAACACACGAAGAACAACCAAAGCAAUUCCUUAGACGAUGUAUAUGUAGUGAUGUUAUUACAAAAUCAUUUUUAAAAAUUUCAUUACCCAAACCUAUAAAUGUUAUAGUGGGUCUUUUUAUGUUACAACUCUGCUGACCACGGUUGUAUUAGUAGGUCUCCCUAAAUGAGACCGAUUAUUAGGUGGUUUUAAAAUGAUUUCUUAUGUUUUUUUAACUGGGUAACUUUUAAAAUUUUUUUAUUGUACUUUAGAUGAAGGUUUACAGAGCAACCUAGUUUCUUAUGAUGCAGUUAGUACACACAUUGUUCUAUGACAUUGGCUAACAACCCCAUGACAGAUCAGCACUCUCCCUUCUCAACCCUGGGUUCCCUAUUACCAGCUUUCCUAUUCCCCCCUGCCUUUCAGUCCCUGCCCGAGGGCUGGUGCACCCCUUAAGGCUUGUUUUGUUCAAUCUUUGGCUGAAGGGUGAACCUCAGGAGUAACUUCAUUACUUAGCUGAAAGGGUGUCUGGGAGUCAUACUCUCGGGGUUUCUUCAGUCUCUGUCAGGCCACCAAGCCUGGUCUUUCUUUUUGAGUUAGAAUUUUGUUCUGCAUUUUUCUCCAGCUCUGUCCUGGACUUUCUAUUGUGAUUCCUUUCAGAGCAGUUAGCAGUGGUAGCCGGGCCCUGUCUUGUUGUACUGGACUCAGUCUGGUGGAGGCCGUGGUAGACGUGGUCCAUUAGUCCUUUGGACUAAUCUUUCCCUUGUAUCUUUAGUUGUCUUCAUUCUUCCUUACUCCGGAAGGGGUGAGAACAGUGGAGUAUCCUAGGUGGCUGCUCACAGGCUUUUAAGACCCCAGACACUACUCAACCAAGGUAGAGUGUAGAGCAUAUUCUUUAUAAACUACGUUAUGCCAGUUGAGCUAGAUAUUCCCCGAGAUCAUGGUCCCCACAGCCCUCAGCCCUUUACAGGUAACUUUUAGUCUUUACACCUCACUGUAACCAUUUGCGUGAGAAGCAACAUAGUUGAUGGUUUAUGGUAAAGUCUGUGUGGUUUUGUUCUUAACUCCUUCUUUUAGUGGAGGCUAGCAAAAACACUUCCUUAGUUUCCUGAUUGUUGGGAUUCUGAUAGCAUGCACUAUAUGUUGGGAGUAAGCACCCAAUUGAUUAUAAAAUAACAGAAUGAAAUAUAACCAUAUUCUUUACCUUAAAGCUCUUACUAGUGGAUCUGUCCUGCCAGAGUUGAAGCAUUUGAUUAUUGUGACCAAGUUUUUCGUCAUAUCAGAUUUAUGUGUGCGUAGUUUUUUUUUUUUUUAGAGUUAUAGAAUAUUAAAAGUAGACUUAAAUUCUAUUAUAUAUAUUCGGAAUUCUGUUUUUGUAUAACUCUACACGUAUUAAAUAUAUUAUAUAGAAGUAGAGUUCGGAAUUCAAAGGAUAUUUACUACAAACACUUAUUUUACAGAUAGGCAAGAGAGAUUAUAGCAUGCUAGAGGUCAAAUAUCAAAGUGUUACCCGUAUAGUAAAUAAAGAGGGAAUAGUAGACUAUUGUAUUAAUGACUCCCACGAACCAUGGCUGCUGGUAUUCAUGCAGUUGCAUAGUUGCCUCCCUUGAUAUCUUGGCUAGCCCUGUGACUUAGGCAGUAGAAUGCAGCAGAAAUGACAUUGUCCAAGUUUUGGACCUAAGUAUUGAGAAGGCCUGGAACCCCUGGUGGCAUAGUGGUUAAGAGCUGUGGCUCUGCUAACCCAAAUGAUGGCGGUUGGAAUCCACCAGGCACUCCUUGGAAACCCUGUGGGGCAGUUCUGCUCUGUCCUAUGGGAUCGCUAUGAGUCGGGAUCGACUCAAUGGCAGUGGGUUUGGUUUUUUUUGGUUUGACAGCUUCUACUUUUUCAUUCUUGGGAGGCCUGAGUUGCCAUGCUGGAAGUUCCCUUACCUGCUGGAGAGACCAUGUGGAGAGGGAGGGACCCUGAGACUACAUUGAGAGAGAGAUCCAGCCCUCCCAUUGUCCGCUGAGCACAGCUCCUACUCAGCUUAUCUGUUGAAUGUAGCCACAAACGUGACCCACCAGCUGAACCAGCACGGAUUACAGAAUCAUGAAUAAAUACGAUGGCGGUGGUUUUAAUCUGUUAGGUUUUUGUGAUGGUUUAUUAUAUAACAGAAACAAAAACCUUGGUGGCGUAGUGGUUAAGAGUUUGGCUGCUAACCAGGCACUGGUUGGAAUCCCUAUGGGGCAGUUCUACUCUGUCCUAUAGGGUCACUAUGUGUUGGAAUCGACGGCAGUGGGCUUUCCAAGGACAAAAAAAAAUUGAGACAGAUGACAAAAAUCACUUUUGUUUUAUAACUUCUUUUAUUGAGAUACCUAAAUGAGGCUGCCCUCCGACCCUCCACCCUCAUUUCCUUAAGGUAUUUGGCGUAGAUACCAAUUUUUAUUAUUGAAGCCUUUAAAUAGUGUUUAAAAAUGUAGUUACAAUGUAUUUAGAUAAUAUGUAAUAAAAGAAUUAUGAACACCAACCCUAAAAAACCUGUCAUUUUAUUCUUUUGACUUACACAGACAUUUCAUGUAUAUUUGGAACACUGUGCACUCUAUGUCAGAAGAGAUGGGUUCUAUCAUGGAUUGAAUUAUGUCACCCCAAAAAUAAAUGAAGGGUGCACACAACAUGAGUAGUGAAAGAACAAGACAGGAGGCGAACCGUGCUCAAACAGCACAUGCUGGAGAGAGAGACUGAAAUGGUGGGAGGCUACAGCAGGGGACGCCUACGUAUCGUUUCAUCAGUGUGGAUUCAGCGUAGUGCUUGAAGCGCGGCAAAUUCACGUUUUGUUUUUUGGAACUUUUUUUUUCUGGAUAUUUUCCAUCUGUGGUUGGUUGAAAGAGUCCAAGAGUGACUUCUGAGGAAGCAGUAGAAGUAUUACUUUUGGAUAAAGAAGCAAGUAAUAGUACCCCUGUGCUUUGUAGUCUUUGUUUAUGUGCAGUUACUUCAGUUUUAGUAAUCUUUUCAUUGAAAAUGUAUUGUUUUGCUAACUUUUGGACUUGACUUUUUAUGCUCUUUAAAAAAAAUCCUGAAAUUCAUUCCAUAUUUAAGAAGUUUGUAAUAAAUCUGAGUUCCUACUUUGUACAGAAUAUUCUUAAAACUAGAAAUGAAAGUGAUGUCAAGAAAUACCCAGCUCCUUUUUAUGUAUAUAUCAGAAUAUCUAGAAUAUGCUAUGCUAACAAAUAAACCCAAUUCUUAGUGGCUUCAUUCGACCAAGAUUUGUUUCAUAUUCAUGCUACAAGUUCAUCAUGGUCUGGCUUGGGAGCUGUGCUCUGCAUCUUCUGCGCCCAGGCUGAGGGAGGCUCCAUUUCUGUCCUGCCACAAUUGUGAAGAUAGGAAAAAGAAGGGAACAUGGUAGAUUGUGCUCUGGCUCUUAAAGACACUGUCCCAAAGUGGUACAUUCACCUCUGUUUACAUUUCAUUGGCUAAGGAAAGUCACAUGGCAGCGCCUCACUUCAAGGGUGCAGAGAAGUGAAAUCCUGUCAUGUUUCUGGAAGGAGAAUUAGAAAUGUUUGGUGAAUAGCAUUGAUGAAUACCACAGAAGGUAACCCUAUUUUGGUCCAGAAAUUCAUAUUUGACUUUGGAAUAUGCUUUACUACCUAUAAUGUAAUAUGACUGCCUGGUAGAUCAUUAUACUAGAAUGUAUUAAUUAAAGGGAUGUACUUAAUAAUACUAUUAAAAAUCAACAUUUUCUGGAGGUAGAAGUAAUGUCGGAAGCAUAGGGCUUUGGGGUCUUGAUUCUUUACUUCACAUGGAAGGAGAGAAGGAAUCAAAUUUUAAAAUUGCUGUGUAAUAUUAAUGAGAUCAUAGGUGCCUUACAAUCUUUUUUUUUUAGUAUGUUCUUAAAACAUGUUUUAUUCUUAGUCAGAUUUACUUUGCUUAUUUGUUUUCUUGUAGCCACCUAAAGAAGACACUAGGCAAAAAUCAAAUCCUUAGUAAGCAUCCAUUUAUAUAUAUUGUACACUGGAGAAAUCAAAAUAAGAUCUGUACUCUUCAUUUUCUCAUAAUCCAGUGCAAAGUAUGCAAAAUGACAAAUUCUCCAAUAGAGAUGGCACAAGGGGUUGGGGAGGUUUAGAGAGGGAAGAACUUAAGGCAGUGGAAUUGAAAGAAAACACCUUAGUUGAAUCUUGAAGAAUGAAUGAAAAAAAAAAAAAAACUUUACUGAAGAGAAUGGAAGGAGUGAAGAACUGGCCAUUAUGUGUUG